RNAcentral lists this long non-coding RNA (360 nucleotides) under Chrysemys picta bellii (western painted turtle). RNAcentral describes it as "lncRNA (ENSCPBG00000013359.1)". The record is from RNAcentral. Lineage: Eukaryota; Metazoa; Chordata; Testudines; Emydidae.
AGUUGCUUUUAAUGGAUGUGGCUUUCUGAGAAAGGUGGAAGAGAACUGUACUCACAUCAUAAGGGGACCUUCAGAUGGGAAAAACAGACAAAGACUUUUCCACAGGAACACAGAGCUAGGAUUAGAGCUCUGCACCAUGAGAUCCCUAAGCCUGUGCCCAGGCCGCCACACUAAGCUCUCUUAUACUAUGAUGUCACUGAUAAAAAGCUUGACAGCAUGAGUUCCGAAUUCUGGACCUCAAACCAAGCUUCACAGCCUGACUUGGGCUACAGGAGGGAGGAGCACAGGACCGUCAGCAAAGAUCUACUGGAACCAGGAUUGCAGAUAAAGGUGUCGCUGGAAUCAGGAUAUAGGUAGGUG